Molecule: non-coding RNA, 99 nt
Filed under: Alexandrium monilatum
Lineage: Eukaryota; Dinophyceae; Gonyaulacales; Pyrocystaceae
Source: RNAcentral
CGGCUGGGCUCCUGUCCGCGCGCAACCCUCGACGCCUGCUGCUCGCUGGGGCCCAGCCUCGACGGCCCGCUCGUCAUCAACGCCGCCCCCUCGCGCUAC